AAUCAACGCUGGCGGCGUGCCUCAGACAUGCAAGUCGAACGAUUAAACUUUCCUUCGGGGAAGAUAUAAAGUGGCGCACGGGUGAGUAACACGUAAGUAAUCUACCUUCGAGUGGGGAAUAACGUUCGGAAACGAACGCUAAUACCGCAUAAUGCAGCGGCACCUAAUGGUGACAGUUGUUAAAGGAGCAAUUCGCUUGAAGAGGAGCUUGCGGCAGAUUAGCUAGUUGGUAAGGAACGGCUUACCAAGGCUACGAUCUGUAACCGGUCUAAGAGGACGGUCGGUCACACUGACACUGAAUAACGGGUCAGACUCCUACGGGAGGCAGCAGUCGGGAAUUUUGGGCAAUGGGCGAAAGCCUGACCCAGCAACGCCGCGUGAAGGAUGAAGUAUUUCGGUAUGUAAACUUCGAAAGAAUGGGAAGAAUCAAUGACGGUACCAUUUAUAAGGUCCGGCUAACUACGUGCCAGCAGCCGCCGCAGU
This 483-nucleotide ribosomal RNA is filed under the name uncultured bacterium. RNAcentral describes it as "bacterial SSU rRNA". It matches the Rfam family "Bacterial small subunit ribosomal RNA", at positions 32 to 524 of the family's 1533-position model. The record is from RNAcentral.